GCAGGCUCCGCGGGCACGCCCCUCUGUGUGAUUAUCAUCGCUGCGGUAAGGGAAAAUCUAAGGAGAGUAGAGUCUCUACACUCCUUAGGAAAAUCCCCGCAGAAACCCCUGACAGAUUACUUAUUUUUGAGCUGUCGCCAUGGCUGGAAAUGGAUCUGAUGCUGUGAAACGAAUCGGCAAUGCUGAAGAAACACCUUUGAACGUGGUAAGCCCUGGGCACGUGGUCGUCGGUGAGCUGCAAUUGGACUCGUCUACGGUGCCGAAAAAGCAGACGGAGAGUUACGACGACAAGAUUGCAAGGUUGAGAGAUACAAACGCUCGAAAUGCCUGCAUUGGUGACUGUUGUUUCCAUCUGGGGAACUGUAUGGAGUGCUUUCUGCUUUGUUUUUUGUGUUGUGACGGGUGUUGUGAAUAGUUGGUUACUUGGAAUGCCAAAAUGAUUCAAUUUUUAUCAAUUGUUUCGUAUACUUCAGGACAAAUUACAAUCAUUUUACCGUCCCUUGCCAUAAAUAUACUUUUUUCCUUGAUUUUUAACGAUUAUAUUUUAAGUUUUCCUUCUUUUGCUGCCAACAAAAAUUUUGAAUUGCUAUAUUGUAUUUGUCCACGUUUUUUGAACCAUAUAAACAUUUUUUUGUUCAAAUUUGUGCCUUAAAUCGGUUAAAUCGUACCAAAAAAAUCUACUGAUAUUGUAAAGAUUUUAGAAAAAUUAUAAUUUUUAAUAAAAUUAUAGCUAUUUUUUACCAUUAAA
Cloeon dipterum is the source of this 748-nucleotide long non-coding RNA. RefSeq lists it as uncharacterized. The transcript has 2 exons. The record is from RefSeq and is a predicted model, not a curated record. NCBI's taxonomy places the organism in Eukaryota, Metazoa, Arthropoda, Insecta, Ephemeroptera, Baetidae.